AAUUGGAGGGCAAGUCUGGUGCCAGCAGCCGCGGUAAUUCCAGCUCCAAUAGCGUAUAUUAAAGUUGUUGCAGUUAAAAAGCUCGUAGUUGAAUUUCGGGAUUGACACAUCGGUCGUGCCUUAAGGGGUAUGAACUGGUGUAGUCAAUUUCUCACCUUCUGGAGAACCGCGAUGCCCUUAAUUGGGUGUCACGGGGAACCAGGACCUUUACUUUGAAAAAAUUAGAGUGUUUAAAGCAGGCAUUUUGCUUGAAUACAUUAGCAUGGAAUAAUAAAAUAGGACGGCAUGAUUCUAUUUUGUUGGUUUCUAGGAUCACCGUAAUGAUUAAUAGGGAUAGUUGGGGGCAUUAGUAUUCAAUUGUCAGAGGUGAAAUUCUUGGAUUUAUUGAAGACUAACUACUGCGAAAGCAUUUACCAAGGAUGUUUUCAUUAAUCAAGAACGAAAGUUAGGGGAUCGAAGACGAUCAGAUACCGUCGUAGUCUUAACCAUAAACUAUGCCGACUAGGAAUCAGACGAUGUUAAUUUUUUAAUGACUCGUUUGGCACCUUACGGGAAACCAAAGUGU
RNAcentral lists this ribosomal RNA (565 nucleotides) under uncultured Glomus. Its description in RNAcentral is "SSU rRNA". It matches the Rfam family "Eukaryotic small subunit ribosomal RNA", at positions 546 to 1106 of the family's 1831-position model. The record is from RNAcentral. Lineage: Eukaryota; Fungi; Glomeromycota; Glomeromycetes; Glomerales; Glomeraceae.